Molecule: ribosomal RNA, 406 nt
Filed under: uncultured bacterium
Lineage: Bacteria
Description: partial 16S ribosomal RNA
Rfam family: Bacterial small subunit ribosomal RNA
Source: RNAcentral
AUUGAACGCUGGCGGCAGGCCUAACACAUGCAAGUCGAACGAGUGGCGGACGGGUGAGUAAGGUCUGGGAAACUGCCUGAUGGAGGGGGAUAACUACUGGAAACGGUAGCUAAUACCGCAUACCAUCGGAUGUGCCCAGCUGGGAUUAGCUAGUCGGUGGGGUAAAGGCUCACCUAGGCGACGAUCCCUAGCUGGUCUGAGAGGAUGACCAGCCACACUGGAACUGAGACACGGCCCAGACUCCUACGGGAGGCAGCAGUGGGGAAUAUUGGACAAUGGGCGCAAGCCUGAUGGAGCCACGCCGCGUGUAUGAAGAAGGUCUUCGGGUUGUAAAGCACUGUCAGCGGGGAGGCGUUACCCGCAGAGGAAGCACCGGCUAACUCCGUGCCAGCAGCCGCGGUAAUUC